Molecule: non-coding RNA, 234 nt
Filed under: Pan troglodytes (chimpanzee)
Lineage: Eukaryota; Metazoa; Chordata; Mammalia; Primates; Hominidae
Also listed under: 1 other name
Source: RNAcentral
AAAGGAAGAGGCCGAGGAAGAGGUCGAAGAGGUGGAAGAGGGCAGAAUUCAGCAUCGAGAGGAGGGUCUCAAAGAGGAAGAGACACUGGUCUGGAGACUUCUACCCGUAGCAGGAACUCAAAGACUGCUGUGUCAGCAUCUAGAAAUAUGUCUAUUAUAGAUGGUGAGUAUAGACUGCAAGUGAUUAUUUAUAAAUUCCAACAUUAGAAAGACCAAGGUAAUCACCAUUGGUAG